UAACUUGAGAGUUUGAUCCUGGCUCAGAACGAACGCUGGCGGCACGCUUAACACAUGCAAGUCGAACGGAAUUAUGGGGCUUGCCCUAUAAUUUAGUGGCGCACGGGUGAGUAACACGUAGAUACCUGCCCAUUGAUGGUGGAUAACUCCGGGAAACUGGAGCUAAUACAGCAUGAGCUCGAGAGAGGAAAGGCCGCAAGGCCGUCAAUGGAGGGGUCUGCGCCUGAUUAGGUAGUUGGUGAGGUAACGGCCCACCAAGCCGAUGAUCAGUAGCUGGUCUGAGAGGAUGGUCAGCCACACUGGAACUGAGAUACGGUCCAGACUCCUACGGGAGGCAGCAGU
RNAcentral lists this ribosomal RNA (342 nucleotides) under Holosporaceae bacterium. RNAcentral's name for it is "bacterial SSU rRNA". It matches the Rfam family "Bacterial small subunit ribosomal RNA", at positions 1 to 355 of the family's 1533-position model. Lineage: Bacteria; Pseudomonadati; Pseudomonadota; Alphaproteobacteria; Holosporales; Holosporaceae. The record is from RNAcentral.